RNAcentral lists this ribosomal RNA (468 nucleotides) under uncultured bacterium. RNAcentral describes it as "partial 16S ribosomal RNA". It matches the Rfam family "Bacterial small subunit ribosomal RNA", at positions 28 to 507 of the family's 1533-position model. The record is from RNAcentral.
GACGAACGCUGGCGGCGUGCUUAACACAUGCAAGUCGAACGGAAAGGCCCUGCUUUUGUGGGGUGCUCGAGUGGCGAACGGGUGAGUAACACGUGAGUAACCUGCCCUUGACUUUGGGAUAACUUCAGGAAACUGGGGCUAAUACCGGAUAGGAGCUCCUGCUGCAUGGUGGGGGUUGGAAAGUUUCGGCGGUUGGGGAUGGACGCGCGGCUUAUCAGCUUGUUGGUGGGGUAGUGGCUUACCAAGGCUUUGGCGGGUAGCCGGCCUGAGAGGGUGACCGGCCACCAUGGGACUGCGAUACGGCCCAGACUCCUACGGGAGGCAGCAGUGGGGAAUAUUGCACAAUGGGCGGAAGCCUGAUGCAGCAACGCCGCGUGCGUGAUGACGGCCUUCUGGUUGUAAACCGCUUUCGCCUGUGACGAAGCGUGAGUGACGGUAAUGGGUAAAGAAGCACCGGCUAACUACGUG